This 1053-nucleotide long non-coding RNA is filed under the name Nicotiana benthamiana. RNAcentral describes it as "long non-coding RNA (NBEN_LNC012031)". Lineage: Eukaryota; Viridiplantae; Streptophyta; Magnoliopsida; Solanales; Solanaceae. The record is from RNAcentral.
UUUGGCCAAAAGUAUUUUUUUAGCCAAAAGCACUUUUGACCAAAAAUUGAGUUGUUUGGCCAAGCUUUUGGAAGGAAAAAAGUGCUUUUGAGGAGAAGCAUAAGCAAGUUUCGAAGAAGCAGCUUAUCUCCAAAAGCAUUUUUUUGAGAAGCACUUUGAGAAAAAUACACUUAGAAGCAGUUUUUUACAACUUGGCCAAACACUAAUUGCUGCUCGGAAGUACUUUUCAAUCUAAGUAUCCAAACACAAACUGUUUUCACCAAAAUUACUUUUGACAAAAAGCACUUCUCAAAAUAAGUUGAUUUUUACAGCUUGGCCAAACGGGCUAGCAGAGAUGUUGACAAAUAUAAUCAACCAAUCAAUCAACUACCCUCAGCCCUAAACUAUGAAUAAACUGUGUUGAGUUCCAAAGUUUCACAUAGAAUAAGAAUAAAAAUGUCAAUUUUAUUCUUAUCAAGUCAAAAAGCAAUUAGCAUUUAGGGUAGACACCGGGUAAACAGUGGCGAAGCUAGGAAUUUUGCUAAAAAAGUAAAAAAAUUCAGACAAAGGGUGUUUAAUUUUUAUUAUAUACCUCUAAAAUGCAAUAUUUUAUAUAUAUACACCUUGUAAUUUUUUGACAAAGGGUGGACAAUUCCCCUUAUGCCCAUGUGGCGAAGGCUUCUCCACUGCGUGUGAAUGCGGGAUUCCUUGCAUCGGACUAGUUUAAGUCAAAAAGCAAUUAGCAUAUAAAGACCUUAGCAGAACAAAAACUGGUAGAAAGAAACAAAACACCAAAAAGACCUAUUCCUGAGUAAUUUACUAACUAUAACAAACGAGAUUGAUAAUGAAGAAUUUGAGGUCCUAUUUACUCUUCCCUAAUCAACAAAUUCAAGACCAGAAAACAUUUAAGCAUAAUUAAACAAAAAACGAAAAGGGUAAUCAGCAGACUUUACCUCAAAGCUGUUUAAAUCUUAUCCCUUUUUAUAUGGAAUUCUUUCACCGGCUGCAAUUUUGCUGACAAAGGAUGUCUUUAUCCUCUUCUCUUCAACCCCCUAAUUCAAGAAUUGCUUAUUU